AGAGUUUGAUCCUGGCUCAGAACGAACGCUGGCGGCGUGGAUAAGACAUGCAAGUCGAGCGCUGAUUAAAGGGUAGCAAUAUCUUUUAAUCGGAGCGGCGCAAGGGUGCGUAACACGUGGGUAAUUUGCCAUAAAGUUGGGGAUAACUCGCUGAAAGGCGAGCUAAUACCGAAUGUGGCCUGAUGGAGGCAUCUCCGUUUGGCUAAAGUUGGGGACCGCAAGGCCUGACGCUUUAUGAUGAACCCGCGGCCUAUCAGCUAGUUGGUGAGGUAACGGCCCACCAAGGCUAAGACGGGUAGCUGGUCUGAGAGGACGACCAGCCACACUGGAACUGAGACACGGUCCAGACACCUACGGGUGGCAGCAGUCGAGAAUUUUUCACAAUGGGCGAAAGCCUGAUGGAGCGACGCCGCGUGGGGGAUGAAUGGCUUCGGCCCGUAAACCCCUGUCAUUUGCGAACAAACCUUUUCAUUUAACAGACGAAAAGCUGAUUGUAGCGGAAGAGGAAGGGACGGCUAACUCUGUGCCAGCAGCCGCGGUAAUACAGAGGUCCCAAGCGUUGUUCGGAUUCACUGGGCGUAAAGGGUGCGUAGGUGGUCGGAUAAGUUUGAUGUGAAAUCUCGGAGCUUAACUCCGAAACUGCAUUGAAUACUAUCUGGCUGGAGGGUCGGAGGGGGGACUGGAAUUCUCGGUGUAGCAGUGAAAUGCGUAGAUAUCGAGAGGAACACCAGUGGCGAAGGCGAGUCCCUGGACGACUCCUGACACUGAGGCACGAAAGCUAGGGGAGCAAACAGGAUUAGAUACCCUAGUAGUCC
RNAcentral lists this ribosomal RNA (815 nucleotides) under uncultured bacterium. RNAcentral's name for it is "bacterial SSU rRNA". It matches the Rfam family "Bacterial small subunit ribosomal RNA", at positions 8 to 796 of the family's 1533-position model. The record is from RNAcentral.